GAUGAACGCUGGCGGCGUGCUUAACACAUGCAAGUCGAACGAAACACCUUAUUUGAUUUUCUUCGGAACUGAAGAUUUGGUGAAUGAGUGGCGGACGGGUGAGUAACGCGUGGGUAACCUGGCCUGAACAGGGGGAUAAUAGUCAGAAAUGACUGCUAAUACAGCAUAAGAACACAGCACUGUACGGUGCAGGGGCAAAAACUCCGGUGGUACAGGAUGGAGCCGCGUCGGGUGAGCUGGUCGGAGAGGGAACGUGGCACCAAGGGGACAAUCAGUAGUCGGCAAGAGAGAGUGGGCCGCCACACUGGGACUGGGACACGGCGCGAACUCCUGCGGGAGGGAGCAGUGGGUAAUAUUGCAAUAUGGGGGAAACGCUGAUGCAGCGACGCCGCGUGAGUGAAGAAGUAGUUAAGUAAGUGAAGCACUUUCAGCAGGGAAGAUAAUGACGGUACCUAACUAAUAAGCCCCGGCUAACUACGUG
RNAcentral lists this ribosomal RNA (481 nucleotides) under uncultured bacterium. RNAcentral's name for it is "partial 16S ribosomal RNA". It matches the Rfam family "Bacterial small subunit ribosomal RNA", at positions 28 to 507 of the family's 1533-position model. The record is from RNAcentral.